UGGAAUCCAAUACCCUCAAUCUUGCAUGGUGAGUUAUCAAAACCCAAAUAGUUAUGGUAAAAAAGAAGAAAGAAAGAAAGCCAAAAUAGUACCAAUAUCAAUAGCAGAUUCGUAAGUGGUUCUGUUUUGUGUUUUCAGUUACCAACGUGAAGCCUCACAGUACACACACGCUAGUCUAGCAGGAGCCGGCACCAAGUCCAACACGGUAACAAAUUUGAAUCGCUGUUCAACAAUACUUGUAAUUAAAUGUUGGUUUCAUACUAUAAUUGAAUAAAUUCUUAAGAUUUUUUUGGGAAAUUUCUGUGUAUUUGCAAGAUUGCUACAACUGGGUGGUGGAUAGAGUAAGACUUCAAGAUUUUUAUUUUUUUUGAGAACAGUGACUUCGAGAUUAUGCAUGCUUUGAAAAGUAAAAAAAAAACCGAAAUAUCCAGGACCUGUGUUGAACAACUUAAAAAAAUAUUAGGGCCCAAACAUGCAUUUUUUAAGUUUCGGGGCUAAUUUGACACCUUUAAAAAAAAUUAGGAUCUUUAGCGUAUUUUACUCA
RNAcentral lists this long non-coding RNA (544 nucleotides) under Brachypodium distachyon (stiff brome). RNAcentral describes it as "long non-coding RNA (BDIS_LNC002952)". The record is from RNAcentral. Lineage: Eukaryota; Viridiplantae; Streptophyta; Magnoliopsida; Poales; Poaceae.